UACGUAGGGGGCAGGCGUUGUCCGGAAUCAUUGGGCGUAAAGCGCGUGUAGGCGGCUCGGUAAGUCUGCUCUGAAAGCCCGGGGCUCAACCCUGGGAGGCGGGUGGAUACUGCUGAGCUCGAGUCCGGAAGAGGCGAGUGGAAUUCCUGGUGUAGCGGUGAAAUGCGCAGAUAUCAGGAGGAACACCAAUGGCGAAGGCAGCUCGCUGGGACGGUACUGACGCUGAGACGCGAAAGCGUGGGGAGCAAACAGG
Molecule: ribosomal RNA, 253 nt
Filed under: uncultured bacterium
Lineage: Bacteria
Description: partial 16S ribosomal RNA
Rfam family: Bacterial small subunit ribosomal RNA
Source: RNAcentral